Hemibagrus wyckioides is the source of this 198-nucleotide small nuclear RNA. RefSeq annotates it as U2 spliceosomal RNA. NCBI's taxonomy places the organism in Eukaryota, Metazoa, Chordata, Actinopteri, Siluriformes, Bagridae. The record is from RefSeq and is a predicted model, not a curated record. The transcript has a single exon.
AUCGCUUCUCUGCCUUUUGGCUAAGAUCAAGUGCAGUAUCUGUUUUUAUCAGUUUAAUACCUAAUAUAUCCUCUCUAUGAGAGCAGUGGUGGUUAAAGGUUUGGGUUGUUGAUUGGAAGGUUGGGGUUGAAGCCCUGACACUGCCAAGAUGCUUCUGUUGAGCAAUUGCAGUUGGAGUUUUGUAUCAUAGCUGCCCCU